RNAcentral lists this ribosomal RNA (871 nucleotides) under uncultured archaeon. RNAcentral's name for it is "bacterial SSU rRNA". It matches the Rfam family "Archaeal small subunit ribosomal RNA", at positions 4 to 882 of the family's 1478-position model. The record is from RNAcentral.
CUGGUUGAUCCUGCCAGAGGUCACUGCUAUCGGGGUUCGAUUAAGCCAUGCGAGUCGAGAGGGUUCAGACCCUCGGCGGACUGCCCAGUAACACGUGGAUAACCUGCCCUAAGGUGGAGCAUAACCCCGGGAAACUGGGGAUAAUACUCCAUAGGUUAGAGAUACUGGAAUGUUCUUUAAUCGAAAGUUCCGGCGCCUUAGGAUGGAUCUGCGGCCGAUUAGGUAGUUGUUGGGGUAACGGCCCAACAAGCCUGUAAUCGGUACGGGUUGUGGGAGCAAGAGCCCGGAGAUGGAAUCUGAGACACGAUUCCAGGCCCUACGGGGCGCAGCAGGCGCGAAAACUUUACAAUGCAGGAAACUGUGAUAAGGGAACCCCGAGUGCCCGUAUACGCGGGCUGUCCGGGUGUAUAAAAAGCAUCUGAAGAAAGGGCCGGGCAAGACCGGUGCCAGCCGCCGCGGUAAUACCGGCGGCUCGAGUGGUGACCACUUUUAUUGGGCUUAAAGCGUUCGUAGCUGGACUCUUAAGUCUCUUGGGAAAUCCCGCGGCUCAACGGUGGGGCGUUUAAGAGAUACUGGGAGUCUAGGAACCGGGAGAGGUAAGAGGUACUUCGGGGGUAGAAGUGAAAUUCUGUAAUCCUCGAGGGACCACCGAUGGCGAAGGCAUCUUACCAGAACGGCUUCGACAGUGAGGAACGAAAGCUGGGGGAGCGAACGGGAUUAGAUACCCCGGUAGUCCCAGCCGUAAACGAUGCGCGUUAGGUGUACUGGUGACCACGAGUCACUGGGGUGCCGAAGGGAAACCGUGAAACGUGCCGCCUGGGAAGUACGGUCACAAGGCUGAAACUUAAAGGAAUUGGCGGGGGAGCACCAC